RNAcentral lists this ribosomal RNA (494 nucleotides) under uncultured haloarchaeon. Its description in RNAcentral is "SSU rRNA". It matches the Rfam family "Archaeal small subunit ribosomal RNA", at positions 330 to 824 of the family's 1478-position model. Lineage: Archaea; Methanobacteriati; Methanobacteriota; Halobacteria; Halobacteriales; Halobacteriaceae. The record is from RNAcentral.
GUGCAGCAGGCGCGAAACCUUUACACUGCACGCCAGUGCGAUAAGGGGACCCCAAGUGCGCAGGCAUAGUGCCUGCGCUUUUCUGGACUGUAGGGCGGUCCAGGAACAAGGGCUGGGCAAGACCGGUGCCAGCCGCCGCGGUAAUACCGGCAGCCCAAGUGAUGGCCGCUGUUAUUGGGCCUAAAGCGUCCGUAGCUGGCCGCACAAGUCCGUCGGGAAAUCCGCCCGCUCAACGGGCGGCCGUCCGGCGGAACCUGUGUGGCUUGGGACCGGGAGGCCUGAGGGGUACGAUCGGGGUAGGAGUGAAAUCCUGUAAUCCCGCUCGGACCGCCGAUGGGGAAACCACCUCAGGAGAACGGAUCCGACAGUGAGGGACGAAAGCCAGGGUCUCGAACCGGAUUAGAUACCCGGGUAGUCCUGGCCGUAAACGAUGCUUGUUAGGUGUGACUCCCACUACGAGUGGGUGUUGUGCCGUAGGAAGCCGCUAAACAAGC